AACGCUAGCUACAGGCUUAACACAUGCAAGUCGAGGGGCAGCAGGGAUUUAGCUUGCUAAAUCCGCUGGCGACCGGCGCACGGGUGCGUAACGCGUAUCCAACUUUCCCGUUACUCAGGGAUAGCCUUCCGAAAGGGAGAUUAAUACCUGAUGGUGUUUGAAAUUCGCAUGUUCUUCAAACUAAAGAUUUAUCGGUAACGGAUAGGGAUGCGUGACAUUAGAUAGUAGGCGGGGUAACGGCCCACCUAGUCUACGAUGUCUAGGGGUUCUGAGAGGAAGGUCCCCCACACUGGAACUGAGACACGGUCCAGACUCCUACGGGAGGCAGCAGUGAGGAAUAUUGGUCAAUGGUCGGAAGACUGAACCAGCCAAGUAGCGUGAAGGAUGAAGGUUCUAUGGAUUGUAAACUUCUUUUAUAUAGGAAUAAAACAUCCCACGUGUGGGAUCUUGUAUGUACUAUAUGAAUAAGCAUCGGCUAACUCCGUGCCAGCAGCCGCGGUAAUACGGAGGAUGCGAGCGUUAUCCGGAUUUAUUGGGUUUAAAGGGAGCGUAGACGGGAUGUUAAGUCAGCUGUGAAAGUUUGGGGCUCAACCUUAAAAUUGCAGUUGAUACUGGUGUCCUUGAGUGCGGUUGAGGUAUGUGGAAUUCGUGGUGUAGCGGUGAAAUGCUUAGAUAUCACGAAGAACUCCGAUUG
RNAcentral lists this ribosomal RNA (694 nucleotides) under uncultured Bacteroidales bacterium. RNAcentral's name for it is "bacterial SSU rRNA". It matches the Rfam family "Bacterial small subunit ribosomal RNA", at positions 32 to 715 of the family's 1533-position model. Lineage: Bacteria; Pseudomonadati; Bacteroidota; Bacteroidia; Bacteroidales. The record is from RNAcentral.